RNAcentral lists this ribosomal RNA (263 nucleotides) under uncultured bacterium. Its description in RNAcentral is "partial 16S ribosomal RNA". It matches the Rfam family "Bacterial small subunit ribosomal RNA", at positions 91 to 354 of the family's 1533-position model. The record is from RNAcentral.
CUUAGUGGCGGACGGGUGAGUAACGCGUGGGUAACCUGCCGUAUACAGGGGGAUAACACUUAGAAAUAGGUGCUAAAACCGCAUAAGCGCACAGCGCCGCAUGGCGCAGUGUGAAAAACUCCGGUGGUAUACGAUGGACCCGCGUCUGAUUAGCCAGUUGGCAGGGUAACGGCCUACCAAAGCGACGAUCAGUAGCCGGCCUGAGAGGGUGGACGGCCACAUUGGGACUGAGACACGGCCCAAACUCCUACGGGAGGCAGCAG